AAAAAAAUCUGGCCUCCCAAUCAUGCAGCUGAGCAGGGAACUCUAACAGAGCCGCUCCUCCCUCUGGCGGGUGCUGUCGGUGGGGGCGGCUUGGGAGCGGGGCUCCGCGCUCAGGGCACCGCGCGCACCGUCCGGGAGGGCACUGGCUACCACCACCGCCAGCCUCCUCACGCUGCGGCUCACGCUGCGGCUUCAAUCUUCCCGGGACUCUCAGCUCCCCCCAUUCUAACCCUCGACCCCGGAGGGCUUCCUCAGCUCUCUGGCACCAAACGUGGUCUUUUUCUUACCAGCAACCAACUCUCCAGACACCCACUGGGUGCUCCAACAAUUCUAUCGAGUUCUGUCACCGUGCCCCCAGGAGUUGGGGACAGACCCCAGCACUCAGAGGGCUCAGUCCUGCAGGUCAGGCCGAGGUACCGGGCAGGAGCCCCGCGUUUCCGACACCUGCUCGGGCUGCACCGUCUGGAGCAGCCCUGGCCGCAGCCGCAGAGGGCAAGGCCCGGGGAGGGGAGCAGGCGGCCUCCACAGCUGGGGUCUCUGUGCCGGGGCAGGAAAGACGCAGGCCCCACUCCAGAGUACGCGCAUUCAAGCCGCACCAAGGACCACUUCCCCACCCUUACAGGAGAUCUGGACCGUCUCCUGGCUCCCAGCUCUGGCCCGGCCCCGCCCCAGCCGGUGAAGGCAUUUGAGCUCUCUGCCCUCAAAUGCACAGGGGGACAAAGCACGGAGUCCAGCUUCCCCCCGCGCUCGCUCCCUGCAGGACCACGGCACAGGGGCACUCAGCGGUUCGCGCCCCUAGUCUCCCCGACCUGCUCCGCGCCUCGGCCUUCUCAACCACCUCUCACGACUGGACUAGGGCCAGGGCUUCUCAGAGGACCAGAGUGGGUCAUCGCCCAGGGUGCCCGAGUCCGGACCCGCGGUCCGCGCGUGCAGGGCAGGCUGCUGGGUGCCCACGUCCCGGGCUGCGGUGCUGGAUUCCGGCUCCGGAAACGCGCCCCCUGGGAGGCAGCAGGCGGUGGCCCUGUCCCCACGAGGUUGGCCUGGCCCUGCGCUGGCUGUGGCUGGCAUCUGGGGAGCGAACCAGAGGAUGCCGGAUUUGUCUGCCUUUCAAGUAAAACAAGGUUGUUCUUUCUGGGGUCUUGGGGAGACCUCCCGGGUUAA
Molecule: long non-coding RNA, 1161 nt
Filed under: Oryctolagus cuniculus (rabbit)
Lineage: Eukaryota; Metazoa; Chordata; Mammalia; Lagomorpha; Leporidae
Description: lncRNA (ENSOCUG00000035119.1)
Source: RNAcentral